UACGUAGGGUGCGAGCGUUAAUCGGAAUUACUGGGCGUAAAGCGUGCGCAGGCGGUUUUGUAAGCCAGAUGUGAAAUCCCUGGGCUCAACUCAGGAACUGCAUUGGAAACUGGCGGGCUAGAGUACCGGAGAGGGAAGCGGAAUUCCUGGUGUAGCGGUGAAAUGCGUAGAUACCAGGAGGAACACCGGUGGCGAAAGCGGCGCGCUGGACCACUACUGACGCUGAGGAACGAAAGCUAGGGGAGCAAACAGG
Molecule: ribosomal RNA, 253 nt
Filed under: uncultured bacterium
Lineage: Bacteria
Description: partial 16S ribosomal RNA
Rfam family: Bacterial small subunit ribosomal RNA
Source: RNAcentral